This is a long non-coding RNA of Drosophila persimilis, 397 nucleotides long. RefSeq lists it as uncharacterized. The transcript is spliced from 2 exons. NCBI's taxonomy places the organism in Eukaryota, Metazoa, Arthropoda, Insecta, Diptera, Drosophilidae. The record is from RefSeq and is a predicted model, not a curated record.
AUUGCUUACAAUUGGAGUGCAAAUUACGCUUGAACCAAACUUAACGAAAAAUCAGAAAUGUUGCCGAAAGUAGUGCUCCUGAUGGCCCCUAUUGUGGGAGGCCUGGCCACCGCUUACAUUUGGAACGUUAUCGCCAAGAUGGAACGCGAGCGGCAAAUCAAAAAUGUUCUCAUUGCGGAUAUUGAAAAGUGCGUGGAAGCAGUGCGCAAUUCACGCGCCCAAGGAGACGUCUCCUUUGAGGAGAAGGACGGCGAUGCCAUUGACCCACUCGACGAAAUGGCCGAACUGGCUUACCAAAUGGAAUUCGAAGAAUAAAUAAUCACAUGUCAUCAUUUACAUUAUUUUGGUUUACGAGUAGAGUACAAAAAUAAAAAUAGUUAAACCAUGGGAACCACAA